Molecule: long non-coding RNA, 1341 nt
Organism: Gallus gallus (chicken)
Lineage: Eukaryota; Metazoa; Chordata; Aves; Galliformes; Phasianidae
Source: Ensembl
CCACGGUACCACUGGCUGACCUUUCACAGUAACUAUAAUCUUCCUAUAUCAGAUUUACAUUCUGCUGCAAAACCAUGAAAUAUAAACACAAAUUUGACCAAUUAACUGAUAAGAAAACCACAAACUGUGUCAUCUUGAUUGGAAAUGUGUCUCUUACGGAUUCACUCAGAAUGGUUUAACCAUGAACACACCACAUUUCCCAAGGAAGACAGAACCUGGAACUGUAAAGAAUGAAGUGAAAAAUCUACACUCCCAUGAAACACACAAUUGUUUUCUUUUCUCAUCCAUGUCCAUAUGGUACAACAAGUUUGGAUCCAAAACAUUUUCUCAUGAGUGAAGAGAUCGGGAGAAAGGCAAGAAAAUAGUCAAUGGCCUGCAACACUGCAAGCAAAAUUGUCAGCUCACCUAAAUCAACAUAUCACAUGCUCCUCCACAGAGCACUGCACUCAAGACCAGGCAGGGGUAUGGGGACUGCCAUUGCCUGUGACUAUAUUAUAUAUGUCCAAUGGGGAAGUUCAGCCACAAGAAGGACACUUGGCUGUUGGAUUUUACAUGCUGCCCUUCUUCAUCUACUCCUAAAUAAAUGAAAAGCCACAAAAGAAAAUUUACUUAUGAGCUAAAUCUCACUCACACUAAAGCAUCAGAAGCAGAAAAUGAGCAAAAUAGCAAUGCAUCUGUACAUUUAUUUUUACAGACCUUGUGUAAGCAGUAUAUGAAACAUUGCAAAGAUACAAAGUUCCUUUACAGGAUAUCUAAACUUCAUCAGAGCAGAAAUAUCUCAGUAGGUAAAAUGUAUUAAUCAAGAAUCAUUAGUUAACGCAAGGAAAUUGCCCCCCUCUCCCCAAACCCGAUAAAGCAAUGGCAAUAGUAUCAAACUAAGUAUCCCAGAAGGUUAUUUUUGGAGGUACAUUACAGAUAAGCAGUAGAAAAGUUUGCAAUCAUCUCUAAUCAGAAAACUACUUAAAUAUUUGAAAUACCGUUUAAAAACAAAUAAAACAGAACCAGUUAAUUUUUUCCAAAGGCCCACAGCAAUUUCAGGGUAGCUGCUGUCAAAAAGAGUCAGACAGGCUGUCAAAAAGUAAAUGCACCUUCUGGCUGUGAAGAAUUCUGUCCCUAAAGAAGCAGCGUUUCCAAAAUUAUUUAAAUCUAAGACAGAAGAUCUUUUUUAUUAUGCUGUGAUUUUUAAUUAAUUUAUUUUUUUAAUCUUUCAUUAGAACAGCAAUGUAUCAUCACAACAUAACUGUGGAAGUCCUUAGUGGUAAUAACUCAUGUUACUGAACCUCCAAAGCAAAAAAAAGCUCAAGGUAUCAAGGCAAGUUUUAUGGGCUGAAUUUCUCAAGG